GAUGAAGAACGUAGUGAAAUGCGAUAAGUAAUGUGAAUUGCAGAAUUCAGUGAAUCAUCGAAUCUUUGAACGCACAUUGCGCCCGCUAGUAUUCUGGCGGGCAUGCCUGUCCGAGCGUCAUUUCAACCCUCAAGCCCCCGGGCUUGGUGUUGGGGAUCGGCGAGCCUCCGCGCCCGCCGUCCCCUAAAUCUAGUGGCGAUCUCGCUGUAGCUUCCUCUGCGUAGUAGCACACCUCGCACUGGGAAACAGCGCGGCCACGCCGUUAAACCCCCAACUUCUGAACGUUUGACCUCGGAUCAGGUAGGAAUACCCGCUGAACUUAAGCAUAUCAAUAAGCGGAGGA
This 343-nucleotide unclassified non-coding RNA is filed under the name soil metagenome. Its description in RNAcentral is "partial contains 5.8S ribosomal RNA, internal transcribed spacer 2, and large subunit ribosomal RNA". The stretch from base 1 to 120 matches the Rfam family "5.8S ribosomal RNA", at positions 35 to 154 of the family's 154-position model. The record is from RNAcentral.